GGCCUAACACAUGCAAGUCGAGCGGUAGAGAGAAGCUUGCUUCUCUUGAGAGCGGCGGACGGGUGAGUAAUGCCUAGGAAUCUGCCUGGUAGUGGGGGAUAACGUUCGGAAACGGACGCUAAUACCGCAUACGUCCUACGGGAGAAAGCAGGGGACCUUCGGGCCUUGCGCUAUCAGAUGAGCCUAGGUCGGAUUAGCUAGUUGGUGAGGUAAUGGCUCACCAAGGCGACGAUCCGUAACUGGUCUGAGAGGAUGAUCAGUCACACUGGAACUGAGACACGGUCCAGACUCCUACGGGAGGCAGCAGUGGGGAAUAUUGGACAAUGGGCGAAAGCCUGAUCCAGCCAUGCCGCGUGUGUGAAGAAGGUCUUCGGAUUGUAAAGCACUUUAAGUUGGGAGGAAGGGCAGUUACCUAAUACGUGAUUGUCUUGACGUUACCGACAGAAUAAG
Molecule: ribosomal RNA, 450 nt
Filed under: uncultured Gammaproteobacteria bacterium
Lineage: Bacteria; Pseudomonadati; Pseudomonadota; Gammaproteobacteria
Description: bacterial SSU rRNA
Rfam family: Bacterial small subunit ribosomal RNA
Source: RNAcentral